This 473-nucleotide ribosomal RNA is filed under the name uncultured Glomus. RNAcentral's name for it is "SSU rRNA". It matches the Rfam family "Eukaryotic small subunit ribosomal RNA", at positions 569 to 1048 of the family's 1831-position model. Lineage: Eukaryota; Fungi; Glomeromycota; Glomeromycetes; Glomerales; Glomeraceae. The record is from RNAcentral.
AGCAGCCGCGGUAAUUCCAGCUCCAAUAGCGUAUAUUAAAGUUGCUGCAGUUAAAAAGCUCGUAGUUGAAUUUCGGGACCAUCAUGUCGGUCGUGCCUCGGUACGUACUGGCAUUGUUGGUUUCUACCUUCUGACGAACCAUGAUGUCAUUUAUUUGGUGUCGUGGGAAAUCAGGACUGUUACUUUGAAAAAUUAGAGUGUUUAAAGCAGGCUCACGCUUGAAUACAUUAGCAUGGAAUAAUGAAAUAGGACGUUUGAUUCUAUUUUGUUGGUUUCUAGGAUCGACGUAAUGAUUAAUAGGGAUAGUUGGGGGCAUUAGUAUUCAAUUGUCAGAGGUGAAAUUCUUGGAUUUAUUGAAGACUAACUACUGCGAAAGCAUUUGCCAAGGAUGUUUUCAUUAAUCAAGAACGAAAGUUAGGGGAUCGAAGACGAUCAGAUACCGUCGUAGUCUUAACCAUAAACUAUGCCGACUA